RNAcentral lists this ribosomal RNA (305 nucleotides) under uncultured bacterium. RNAcentral's name for it is "bacterial SSU rRNA". It matches the Rfam family "Bacterial small subunit ribosomal RNA", at positions 338 to 661 of the family's 1533-position model. The record is from RNAcentral.
CCUACGGGAGGCAGCAGUGGGGGAUAUUGGACAAUGGGGGAAACCCUGAUCCAGCGAUGCCGCGUGAGGGAAGAAGGUUUUCGGAUUGUAAACCUCUGUGGAGGGGGACGAUAAUGACGGUACCCCUUUAGGAAGCCACGGCUAACUACGUGCCAGCAGCCGCGGUAAUACGUAGGUGGCGAGCGUUGUCCGGAUUUAUUGGGUUUAAAGGGUGCGUAGGCGGACGCUUAAGUCAGCGGUAAAAUUGCGGGGCUCAACCUCGUCGAGCCGUUGAAACUGGGUGCCUUGAGUGGGCGAGAAGUACG